AGUCGAACGAGGCUUCGAGCCGAGUGGCGGACGAGUGAGUAACACGUACCUAAUCUACCUAUAAGUGGGGAACAACCGCCCGAAAGGGUGGCUAAUACCGCAUGUGCUCUACGGAGUAAAGCUUUUGCGCUUAUAGAUGAGGGUGCGUCCUAUCAGCUUGUUGGUGGGGUAAUGGCCUACCAAGGCAACGACGGGUAGCUGGUCUGAGAGGAUGAUCAGCCACACUGGGACUGAGACACGGCCCAGACUCC
Molecule: ribosomal RNA, 251 nt
Filed under: uncultured bacterium
Lineage: Bacteria
Description: partial 16S ribosomal RNA
Rfam family: Bacterial small subunit ribosomal RNA
Source: RNAcentral